CUUGAGAGAGACAGAAGCAGCUGGGAGAAGGAAGGAAGGAGCUCAGGGUCUAUCAGUUUUUCUGCCUUACAGCUCCCUGCACCUUCAAGCAAAGCCAGAUGUAGCUGCAUCACUAUCUGUGUCAAGCAUCCAGCCUUUCUCUCUCCCAGAGAGUAAACAGUACAGAGGAACUAGCAUAUAAACUUCAGGCAAAAACAGGUGGGUGUAGAUGCAGCUCAGGAUGGAUGAAAAGGCAGCCUGAGGGUGAGUUUAUGUGCAUAGAUGGAGCAAAUUGUAGGUGAACUUGAUGGGUCACAGGCUGGGAUGCUAAGCUGCAAGCACAGGCCACAGCAGACAUGCCUCUUCCUCCCCGCAGAUCUCCUACUGACCACCUCAUUUGUCCAGCCAGACAAAAGUAUAAGUUAUUUAUCAGGCUGGUGGGGAUGUUUUAGUUAUCCUAAAUGUUGUGAGACAGUCAAUCCUUAAUA
Chelonoidis abingdonii (Abingdon island giant tortoise) is the source of this 467-nucleotide long non-coding RNA. RefSeq lists it as uncharacterized. Lineage: Eukaryota; Metazoa; Chordata; Testudines; Testudinidae. The record is from RefSeq and is a predicted model, not a curated record.